Molecule: transfer RNA, 111 nt
Filed under: Lepisosteus oculatus (spotted gar)
Lineage: Eukaryota; Metazoa; Chordata; Actinopteri; Semionotiformes; Lepisosteidae
Rfam family: tRNA
About the family: Transfer RNA (tRNA) molecules are approximately 80 nucleotides in length. Their secondary structure includes four short double-helical elements and three loops (D, anti-codon, and T loops). Further hydrogen bonds mediate the characteristic L-shaped molecular structure. tRNAs have two regions of fundamental functional importance: the anti-codon, which is responsible for specific mRNA codon recognition, and the 3' end, to which the tRNAs corresponding amino acid is attached (by aminoacyl-tRNA synthetases). tRNAs cope with the degeneracy of the genetic code in two manners: having more than one tRNA (with a specific anti-codon) for a particular amino acid; and 'wobble' base-pairing, i.e. permitting non-standard base-pairing at the 3rd anti-codon position.
Source: Rfam by way of RNAcentral
GUCAGGAUGGCCGAGUGGUCUAAGGCGCCAGACUCAAGGACUCCUGUUUUUCCAAUGCUUGGGUGUUCUGGUCUCUGAAUGGAGGCGUGGGUUCAAAUCCCACUCCUGACA